CCUUUGGUGCAAUGUGCACACACUUCUGGUUGUCUGUUUCUUCUGUUCCACCUGUGCACUGCCUGUAGACACUCUGUGUCUAUGAUAUUGGUUACACACACAUGAUGUUUUGCAUAUUGGUUACAUAUGUAUGAUAAUAUACAACUUUCAACAACGGAUCUCUUGGCUCUCGCAUCGAUGAAGAACACAGCGAAAUGUGAUAAGUAAUGUGAAUUGCAGAAUCCAGUGAAUCAUCGAAUCUUUGAACGCAUCUUGCGCUCCUUGGCAUUCCGAGGAGCAUGCCUGUUUGAGUGUCAUUAAACUAUCAAAGCACCUUUCCUGGGGUGUUUUGGACUUUGGGAGUAUUUUGCUGGCCUGUUUGAGCCAGCUCUCCUCAAAAGCAUUAGCUUUGGAGACCAUCAGUGUGAUAACUCUCUUUACACUGACUGAGUGUGUCUCUGCUUCUUAAAUAUGCUGGACACCCUUUGACCUCAAAUCAGGUAGGACUACCCGCUGAACUUAAGCAUAUCAAUAAGCGGAGGAA
RNAcentral lists this ribosomal RNA (523 nucleotides) under uncultured fungus. Its description in RNAcentral is "eukaryotic LSU rRNA". The stretch from base 143 to 296 matches the Rfam family "5.8S ribosomal RNA". The record is from RNAcentral. Lineage: Eukaryota; Fungi.